UCCGAGGUAGCUCAAUGGUGGAGCAAUCGGCUGUUAACCGAUAGGCUGUGGGUUCGAGCCCCACCCUCGGAG
RNAcentral lists this transfer RNA (72 nucleotides) under Aminicella lysinilytica. Its description in RNAcentral is "Eubacteriaceae bacterium WN037 tRNA". It matches the Rfam family "tRNA". Rfam says of the family: Transfer RNA (tRNA) molecules are approximately 80 nucleotides in length. The record is from Rfam by way of RNAcentral. Lineage: Bacteria; Bacillati; Bacillota; Clostridia; Peptostreptococcales; Anaerovoracaceae.